Molecule: ribosomal RNA, 506 nt
Filed under: uncultured bacterium
Lineage: Bacteria
Description: partial 16S ribosomal RNA
Rfam family: Bacterial small subunit ribosomal RNA
Source: RNAcentral
AGUGAACGCUGGCGGUAGGCCUAACACAUGCAAGUCGAACGGCAGCACAGAGGAGCUUGCUCCUUGGGUGGCGAGUGGCGGACGGGCGAGGAAUACAUCGGAAUCUACUCUGUCGUGGGGGAUAACGUAGGGAAACUUACGCUAAUACCGCAUACGACCUACGGGUGAAAGCAGGGGACCUUCGGGCCUUGCGCGAUUGAAUGAGCCGAUGUCGGAUUAGCUAGUUGGCGGGGUAAAGGCCCACCAAGGCGACGAUCCGUAGCUGGUCUGGGAGGAUGAUCAGCCACACUGGAACUGAGGCACGGUCCAGACUCCUGCGGGAGGCAGCAGUGGGGAAUAUUGGACAAUGGGCGCAAGCCUGAUCCAGCCAUACCGCGUGGGUGAAGAAGGCCUUCGGGUUGUAAAGCCCUUUUGUUGGGAAAGAAAUCCAGCUGGCUAAUACCCGGUUGGGAUGACGGUACCCAAAGAAUAAGCACCGGCUAACUUCGUGCCAGCCGCCGCAGUAA